This 1724-nucleotide long non-coding RNA is filed under the name Eucalyptus grandis. Its description in RNAcentral is "long non-coding RNA (EGRA_LNC006240)". Lineage: Eukaryota; Viridiplantae; Streptophyta; Magnoliopsida; Myrtales; Myrtaceae. The record is from RNAcentral.
GCAAUUGCAUGUGGACAAAGCUGAAAAUCACCUUAAAACGAACAGGAAAAUUAUGUCAAAACAAGCAUAUUCUCUUAUGUAUCGGACAUGACCAUGCUUAGAGAAUUAGUGUUAGGUUUAGGAAUUCCGAAAUCAAUUUCCCGUUCUACCAAGAGAAGAAUCGAGAAGACGGGUGCGAGCGCCUGUUCUUAGAAUAAGACCAUGGCAUGAACUCGAUAAGUGUUGCGUUCAUAUUAUUAAAAAAAAAAAAAUAGUCAAAGUAAACCCAACUGAGUGUACGGUAGCAAAGGUAAUUCGCGCGAUUAUUUUAUAUGGCGUUAUAUAAGCAUGUUGCCUUAUGUGUAGCAUACAUUUGGUGUUCAUAUCCAAACGACGACUUGCCUUAAAAGAUUAGCCAUCGGUUCACACUACCUAAUCUCUAAUUAAUCUACUUGAUUAGGAAUCUAUUAAUGCACGAUCUAUAUGCCAUGUACGCAACUCCAUGGUCUAUACAUUAAUGGUUGAUGGGUUGACUUUUGAUUUGAAGAUAAGAGCUGCGUACCAAGAAUUUUUCUAUACUCCCAACGCAAUUUAUAAUUAAAAUUGGUACAAACGGUCAAACGCCGGCAAACAUAAGAGAGCUGGCGGCGGUGGCCCGUCAUCACUUGGUGUAAUUUGCAGUACGUAAUACGGGAAAGCUCAUGUCAGUGUAUUCGAAAAGUUUGGAAAUUGCAAUUUUUUUUAUUAAAGAUCUUGCUCCACCUUUGGUGAAUAAAAUCGAAGCAUACCCAAUUGUCUUUACAUUCGGUAGCAAUUCAAGAAGGUGUUUUUGGUAAGUAUGGUUCACAAAGCAAACCUUGCACUUCAAUCAACUUCUCUUUGUUUAAUCUUUUAUUAGACUCUAGCCGUGUACAGAAGAUAUGACUUUCGGAGGCCUCGUAGGAGCGGUGAGAAUGACUGCUUAAUGGAAUCAGAUUCCCAAGAAAAAGAACAAACUUUUAUAAACCCUUUUUCUUAAACGAAAAUGAAGGGUAACUACUCACGCCAUAAUACUAUCAAAUUUAUUUAAUCAACUUCUUUUUUCCCAUUUGCGACCAGUUAAGCAAAUAAAGAUCAAGAAAUUUACCCAAAGAGGGACCCAAUAAAAACGAACAAAAGAAAGAACUUUGCCCUGCAUUGGCAUCGAGGAGAACCGAUGAAUCAUUAACGAGGUGCAAGCAAGAUUUUUAUUUGCAUGCGAGCUUUUAGAUCUUUCUGGUAUUCUUUUAAGGCAAAAUCCAGAAUCGAUGGGAAUUUGCAAGAUUUUGCCGAUGGUCUCUGCAUUUUCUCAGCAGCCAAACAGACCACUGGCGAAAGGAAGCAAGAAGAAUCAGACCAGGAAAACAGGGCAAAUCCUUCAAGCGGGUAUAAAACAUCACAACCCCCACCAAAGACUCGAGGCACAGAGACAGACACAGACACAGACACAGACACAGAGAGAGAGAGGGAGGGAGGGAGGGAGGGAGGGAGAGUCGUGGACAAACCCGAAAUCAGUGAUGGAGGGAAGGAAGAGACUUGGAUUCUUGAGAGAUUCUUUCUCGCGCUUUGUUUUUAUAUCCUGGAUUUCUCAGGCGCUCUGCGUUUGGUUUUGGAACUUCUCCAAGAACCGAGAGCAGCUUUCUUGUUUCUUGGGUCUCUCUCCCUCCCUCCCUCCCUCCCUCUCUCUCUCUCGCUGUCUCCCCCCACGAAUAUCUGCUAAGCUCGCG